UCGAGGAUCAUUCGCAAUGCGCGAAAGCGUGACGAUGCGACGCUGCGUGGAGGACGAAGGCCUUCGGGUCGUAAACUCCUGUCAUUCGGGAUCAAUGCUACGAGAACUAACACUUUUCGUGGAGGGAUAGUACCGGAAGAGGAAGUCACGGCUAACUCUGUGCCAGCAGCCGCGGUAAUACAGAGGUGGCAAGCGUUGUUCGGAUUUACUGGGCGUAAAGGGUGCGUAGGCGGUUUUGCGUGUCGGGUGUGAAAUUCUGCUGCUCAAUGGCAGAGCUGCGUCCGAAACUACAGAACUUGAGUGCAGGAGAGGAAAGCGGAAUUCUUGGUGUAGCGGUGGAAUGCGUUGAUAUCAAGAAGAACACCGGUGGCGAAGGCGGCUUUCUGGAAUGCAACUGACGCUGAGGCACGAAAGUUGGGGGAGCAAACAGG
RNAcentral lists this ribosomal RNA (431 nucleotides) under uncultured bacterium. RNAcentral's name for it is "bacterial SSU rRNA". It matches the Rfam family "Bacterial small subunit ribosomal RNA", at positions 355 to 776 of the family's 1533-position model. The record is from RNAcentral.